GACGAACGCUGGCGGCGUGCUUAACACAUGCAAGUCGAACGGUAAGGCCCUUCGGGGUACACGAGUGGCGAACGGGUGAGUAACACGUGGGUGAUCUGCCCUGCACUUCGGGAUAAGCCUGGGAAACUGGGUCUAAUACCGGAUAGGACCACUGCCUGCAUGGGUGGUGGUGGAAAGCUUUUGCGGUGUGGGAUGGGCCCGCGGCCUAUCAGCUUGUUGGUGGGGUGAUGGCCUAACAAGGCGACGACGGGUAGCCGGCCUGAGAGGGUGACCGGCCACACUGGGACUGAGAUACGGCCCAGACUCCUACGGGAGGCAGUAGUGGGGAAUAUUGCACAAUGGGCGCAAGCCUGAUGCAGCGACGCCGCGUGAGGGAUGACGGCCUUCGGGUUGUAAACCUCUUUCAGCACCGACGAAGCGCAAGUGACGGUAGGUGCAGAAGAAGGACCGGCCAACUACGUGCCAGCAGCCGCAGUAA
This 478-nucleotide ribosomal RNA is filed under the name uncultured bacterium. RNAcentral describes it as "partial 16S ribosomal RNA". It matches the Rfam family "Bacterial small subunit ribosomal RNA", at positions 28 to 523 of the family's 1533-position model. The record is from RNAcentral.